Long non-coding RNA from Branchiostoma floridae (Florida lancelet), 374 nucleotides. RefSeq lists it as uncharacterized. Lineage: Eukaryota; Metazoa; Chordata; Leptocardii; Amphioxiformes; Branchiostomatidae. The record is from RefSeq and is a predicted model, not a curated record. The transcript is spliced from 3 exons.
UAAGGUUGAAAUAGUUCCUCACCAGGCUGCUUGAUCUUGAUCUACCAGUCUUGCUGGCAGGGAUCCAGUGCCAGACAAAGUUCCAAUGGCUUACCUUCAGUUUGAGCAGUCUACAAUCCAGACUGGAAUACUGAAGUGAUCUAGCAGGACCUGAAUACCUCUCGGUGUGAGAUGACAACUGAAGAGAGAUAAAGGGAGCAAAUUGGACGUCCACUUUUCCUCUCAUUACUCUGACCUGUCUCUCACCGCCGGGCCAGUCAGGGGAUGUCAAUGUGCUGUUCCUGUCUGACAGGCUAAGCUGACAUGUGACCUAGCUGUUGAUCAUGUGACCCAGUGGUGGAUCAAAGGUCCAUGGAAGCCUGUACCCUCCCCAA